This 254-nucleotide ribosomal RNA is filed under the name uncultured bacterium. RNAcentral describes it as "partial 16S ribosomal RNA". It matches the Rfam family "Bacterial small subunit ribosomal RNA", at positions 524 to 776 of the family's 1533-position model. The record is from RNAcentral.
GACGUAGGGUGCGAGCGUUGUCCGGAUUUAUUGGGCGUAAAGAGCUCGUAGGCGGCUCGUUGCGUCAGCUGUGAAAACCUGCAGCUUAACUGUGGGCUUGCGGUCGAUACGGGCAUCACUGGAGUUCGGCAGGGGAGACUGGAAUUCCUGGUGUAGCGGUGAAAUGCGCAGAUAUCAGGAGGAACACCGGUGGCGAAGGCGGGUCUCUGGGCCGAUACUGACGCUGAGGAGCGAAAGCGUGGGGAGCGAACAGG